Molecule: ribosomal RNA, 672 nt
Filed under: uncultured Vibrionaceae bacterium
Lineage: Bacteria; Pseudomonadati; Pseudomonadota; Gammaproteobacteria; Vibrionales; Vibrionaceae
Description: bacterial SSU rRNA
Rfam family: Bacterial small subunit ribosomal RNA
Source: RNAcentral
AGAGUUUGAUCCUGGCUCAGAUUGAACGCUGGCGGCAGGCUUAACACAUGCAAGUCGAGCGGUAACAGGAAUAGCUUGCUAUUUGCUGACGAGCGGCGGACGGGUGAGUAAUGCUUGGGAAUAUGCCUUAUGGUGGGGGACAACAGUUGGAAACGACUGCUAAUACCGCAUAAUGUCUACGGACCAAAGGGGGGGAUCUUCGGACCUCUCGCCAUUUGAUUAGCCCAAGUGAGAUUAGCUAGUUGGUAAGGUAAUGGCUUACCAAGGCGACGAUCUCUAGCUGGUUUGAGAGGAUGAUCAGCCACACUGGGACUGAGACACGGCCCAGACUCCUACGGGAGGCAGCAGUGGGGAAUAUUGCACAAUGGGGGGAACCCUGAUGCAGCCAUGCCGCGUGUGUGAAGAAGGCCUUCGGGUUGUAAGGCACUUUCAGUUGUGAGGAAAGGUGUGUAGUUAAUAGCUGCAUACUGUGACGUUAACAACAGAAGAAGCAACGGCUAACUUCGUGCCAGCAGCCGCGGUAAUACGAGGGGUGCAAGCGUUAAUCGGAAUUACUGGGCGUAGAGCGUUCGUAGGCGGUUGAAUAAGCAAGAUGUGAAAGCCCAGGGCUCAACCUUGAAACUGCAUUUUGAACUGUUCGACUAGAGUACUGUAGAGGGGGGUAGAAUUUCA